This 363-nucleotide ribosomal RNA is filed under the name mine drainage metagenome. Its description in RNAcentral is "bacterial SSU rRNA". It matches the Rfam family "Bacterial small subunit ribosomal RNA", at positions 8 to 368 of the family's 1533-position model. The record is from RNAcentral.
AGAGUUUGAUCCUGGCUCAGGACGAACGCUGGCGGCGUGCUUAAGACAUGCAAGUCGAACGGGUUCAGUUCCUUCGGGGACUGAGCUAGUGGCGGACGGGUGAGUAACACGUGAGCAACCUGCCCUUUGGACCGGGAUAACACCUCGAAAGGGGUGCUAAUACCGGGUGAGGUCUCCGGCCCGCAUGGGUUGGGGAGGAAAGGGGAAACCCGCCGAAGGAGGGGCUCGCGGCCCAUUAGCUAGUUGGUGUGGUAAUGGCGCACCAAGGCGACGAUGGGUAGCCGGCCUGAGAGGGUGAACGGCCACACUGGGACUGAGACACGGCCCAGACUCCUACGGGAGGCAGCAGUCGGGAAUCUUCGA